Molecule: ribosomal RNA, 386 nt
Filed under: marine Metazoa environmental sample
Lineage: Eukaryota; Metazoa
Description: SSU rRNA
Rfam family: Eukaryotic small subunit ribosomal RNA
Source: RNAcentral
AGCUCCAAUAGCGUAAAUUAAAGUUGCUGCAGUUAAAAGUUCGUUGUGGGAUCUCCGGGUACCUGGUCUAGCCGGUAUAGCUCACGCUAAAACUGGUCUGACCCCCUAACGUGAGGUAUUCGUCUCCGGGUGCACUUGAUUGGGUGCUCGUGAGGGGCCUCGUAGUCACUGUGAAAAAAAUUAGAGUGUUCAAAGCAGGCUCAUAUGUUCGGAUAGUCGUGCAUGGAAUAACUGAAUACGUGACGGGCGCUUUUCAGUUGGUCUCGGCGACUGGUCAAAUGAUUAAGAGGGACGGCCGGGGGCAUUGGUAUGGCGGGGUUAGAGGUGAAAUUCUUGGAUCCUCGCCAGACCAACAAAAGCGAAAGCAUUUGCCAAGAAUGUCUUCA